UUGGCCUUGACAUACUAAGAACUUUCCAGAGAUGGAUUGGUGCCUUCGGGAACUUAGAUACAGGUGCUGCAUGGCUGUCGUCAGCUCGUGUCGUGAGAUGUUGGGUUAAGUCCGCAACGAGCGCAACCCUUUUCCUUAUUUGCCAGCGGGUCAUGCCGGGAACUUUAAGGAUACUGCCAGUAACAAACUGGAGGAAGGCGGGGACGACGUCAAGUCAUCAUGGCCCUUACGGCCAGGGCUACACACGUGCUACAAUGGUCGGUACAAAGGGUUGCUACCUCGCGAGAGGAUGCUAAUCUCAAAAAGCCGAUCGUAGUCCGGAUCGCAGUCUGCAACUCGACUGCGUGAAGUCGGAAUCGCUAGUAAUCGCGGAUCAGAAUGCCGCGGUGAAUACGUUCCCGGGCCUUGUACACACCGCCCGUCACACCAUGGGAGUUUGUUGCACCAGAAGUAGGUAGUCUAACCGCAAGGAGGACGCUUACCACGGUGUGGCCGAUGACUGGGGUGAAGUCGUAACAAGGUAAGCGUAGAUGA
Molecule: ribosomal RNA, 534 nt
Filed under: uncultured bacterium
Lineage: Bacteria
Description: bacterial SSU rRNA
Rfam family: Bacterial small subunit ribosomal RNA
Source: RNAcentral